GAUGAACGCUGGCGGCGUGCUUAACACAUGCAAGUCGAACGGAGAAAGGGUAGCUUGCUAUCUUUUCUUAGUGGCGGACGGGUGAGUAACGCGUGGGUAACCUGCCCUUUGCAGGGGGGAUAACAGUGAGAAAUCACUGCUAAUACCGCAUACCAACUUCUUUCGCAUGAAAGAAGUUUGAAAGAUUUAUCGGCAAAGGAUGGACCCGCGUUGGAUUAGCUAGUUGGUGAGAUAACAGCCCACCAAGGCAACGAUCCAUAGCCGGCCUGAGAGGGUGAACGGCCACACUGGGACUGAGACACGGCCCAGACUCCUACGGAGGCAGCAGUGGGGAAUAUUGCACAAUGGGCGAAAGCCUGAUGCAGCGACGCCGCGUGAAGGAUGAAGGUCUUCGGAUUGUAAACUUCUAUCAGCAGGGGAAGAAAGGGCCUAUGGCCUAUGACGGUACCUGACUAAGAACGCCCCGGCUAACUACGUGCCAGCAGCCGCGGUAAUCUCGU
Molecule: ribosomal RNA, 500 nt
Filed under: uncultured bacterium
Lineage: Bacteria
Description: bacterial SSU rRNA
Rfam family: Bacterial small subunit ribosomal RNA
Source: RNAcentral